CCUACGGGAGGCAGCAGUGAGGAAUAUUGGUCAAUGGCCGUAAGGCUGAACCAGCCAAGUCGCGUGAAGGAAGAAGGAUCUAUGGUUUGUAAACUUCUUUUGUAGGGGAAUAAAGGUAUCCACGUGUGGAUAUUUGCAUGUACCCUAUGAAUAAGCAUCGGCUAACUCCGUGCCAGCAGCCGCGGUAAUACGGAGGAUGCGAGCGUUAUCCGGAUUUAUUGGGUUUAACGGGUGUGUAGGUUGUUUUUUAAGUCAGCGGUGAAAGUUUGUGGCUCAACCAUAAAAUUGCCGUUGAAACUGGAAGUCUUGAGUGUGUUUGAGGUAUGCGGAAUGCGUGGUGUAGCGGUGAAAUGCAUAGAUAUCACGCAGAACUCCGAUUGCGAAGGCAGCUUACUAAGCCAUAACUGACACUGAAGCACGAAAGCGUGGGGAUCAAACAGGAUUAGAUACCCUUGUAGUC
RNAcentral lists this ribosomal RNA (460 nucleotides) under uncultured bacterium. Its description in RNAcentral is "partial 16S ribosomal RNA". It matches the Rfam family "Bacterial small subunit ribosomal RNA", at positions 338 to 795 of the family's 1533-position model. The record is from RNAcentral.